This 524-nucleotide unclassified non-coding RNA is filed under the name Phytophthora megasperma. RNAcentral's name for it is "partial ITS2". The stretch from base 1 to 79 matches the Rfam family "5.8S ribosomal RNA", at positions 77 to 154 of the family's 154-position model. Lineage: Eukaryota; Oomycota; Peronosporomycetes; Peronosporales; Peronosporaceae. The record is from RNAcentral.
GGAUUCAGUGAGUCAUCGAAAUUUUGAACGCAUAUUGCACUUCCGGGUUAGUCCUGGGAGUAUGCCUGUAUCAGUGUCCGUACAUCAACCUUGGUUUUCUUCCUUCCGUGUAGUCGGUGGAGGAUAUGCCAGACGUGAAGUGUCUUGCUAGCGGUCUUUCGAGUCUGCCGGUGAGUCCUUUUAAAUGUACUGAACUGUACUCUCUCUUUGCGCGAAAAGCGUGGCGUUGCUGGUUGUGGAGGCUGCCCGUGUGGCCAGUCGGCGACCGGUUUGUUAGCUGUGGCGUUUGGAGGAGUGUUCGAUUCGCGGUAUGGUUGGCUUCGGCUGAACAAUCUGCUUAUUGGGUGCUUUUCCUGUCAUGGCGGUAUGAACUGGUGAACCGUAGCUGUNUGGUGCUUGGCUUUUGAACCGGCUUUGCUNUGCGAAGUAGUGUGGCGGCUUCGGCUGUCGAGGGGUCGAUCCAUUUUGGGAAACUUUGUGUGUGCGGCUUCGUCGUGCGCGCAUCUCAAUUGGACCUGAUAUCA